RNAcentral lists this ribosomal RNA (323 nucleotides) under Cercozoa sp. Its description in RNAcentral is "SSU rRNA". The stretch from base 101 to 323 matches the Rfam family "Eukaryotic small subunit ribosomal RNA", at positions 732 to 955 of the family's 1831-position model. Lineage: Eukaryota; Cercozoa. The record is from RNAcentral.
GAUUUCUGGUUUGGCGCGAUUUGUCCGCUCCGGUUAACGGAGAUGUGUACAUUUAUGCGCCUUCCAUCCUUUGCAGUUCCGGCUGGGUUCUUAAUUGAGCUCAGUCAAGGGCUGCAUCUUUUACUUUGAAAAAAUUAGAGUGUUUCAAGCAGGCUUUAUGCUAUGAAUACAUUAGCAUGGAAUAAUAAUUUAGGACUUCGGUUCUAUUUUGUUGGUUUCUAGGACUGAAGUAAUGAUUGAUAGGGAUAGUUGGGGGUGCUAGUAUUCAGCGGCCAGAGGUGAAAUUCUCGGAUUCGCUGAAGACUAACUUAUGCGAAAGCAUU